Long non-coding RNA from Zalophus californianus (California sea lion), 641 nucleotides. RefSeq lists it as uncharacterized. The record is from RefSeq and is a predicted model, not a curated record. The transcript is spliced from 6 exons. NCBI's taxonomy places the organism in Eukaryota, Metazoa, Chordata, Mammalia, Carnivora, Otariidae.
UGGCGGGAAAUUUUGGGCUGGGAGUGCCCGCGGCAGCUGAGAGCUGCGGGGCUGCCUCUACAAAAUCGCCCUUCUUGGAUCCUCAGUGGUUAUUACCUGUGUGUUGCAGACUCCCGCCAGUUCCUCACCCGCCCGGCCGAUACACCUGAAAUCGAUCGAGACGACGACGCCUGCGACUCCAGUGUCUGAGAGUUCCACUUUCUUUAUGACUUCACCAGCACUGGAUAGGGAUUCAGAACUGGAGAAACAAGAAAAGACAAUGUGUGAAAGCAGUAGCCGACAGACACGGAGAGAGGCAGUAUUCAGACUUCAUGAGUAAGCAGAAGCUGUGAAUAAACAAGAGCUCUGAGCGAACAAAAGCCACGAGGCAGCACAAAGGUACACAAAGUAACGACGGAGUGAUAGAAGGGUCAGAGAGGUAGCAUUCCGGAGGCUCACAGUGGCUUCGAGAGCGCAGCUGCAUUUCCUGGCUCACGGCCCCCUUCCAUCCUCAAAACCAGCAAUGGCAGGAUGUGAUGGUUGCCACCCUAGUUACCAUCUUGGACCACGAGAGCGAGGGCCACACUGAGGAAUGAAGAACAGUGAGAUGAGCUGGGGGUCCCACAGGACAUUGUGGAGAAGCUCUGCAUUUUCUAACUCAG